AUUGAACGCUGGCGGAAUGCUUUACACAUGCAAGUCGAACGGCAGCACGGACUUCGGUCUGGUGGCGAGUGGCGAACGGGUGAGUAAUGUAUCGGAACGUGCCCAGUCGUGGGGGAUAACGUAGUGAAAAUUACGCUAAUACCGCAUACGAUCUAUGGAUGAAAGCGGGGGAUCGCAGGACCUCGCGCGAUGUGAGCGGCCGAUAUCAGAUUAGGUAGUUGGUGGGGUAAAGGGCCACCAAGCCAACGAUCUGAAGCCGGUCUGAAAGGACGACCAGCCACACUGGAACUGAGACACGGUCCAGACUCCUACGGGAGGCAGCAGUGGGGAAUUUUGGACAAUGGGCGAAAGCCUGAUCCAGCCAUUCCGCGUGCAGGAUGAAGGCCCUCGGGUUGUAAACUGCUUUUGUACAGAACGAAAAGGUUUCUACUAAUACUAGGAGCUCAUGACGGUACUGUAAGAAUAAGCACCGGCUAACUACGUGCCAGCAGCCGCGGUAA
This 500-nucleotide ribosomal RNA is filed under the name uncultured bacterium. Its description in RNAcentral is "partial 16S ribosomal RNA". It matches the Rfam family "Bacterial small subunit ribosomal RNA", at positions 30 to 523 of the family's 1533-position model. The record is from RNAcentral.